ACAUAGUAAACCAAGAGCAAUUUAAAGGAGGUACACCCCCUUUAAAAAAGGACACACCCUCACAUAGCGGAUACCCCCCACCCCCCCUUCCCCGUAGGCCUUCAAGCAGCCACCAACAAAGAGUGCGUCAAAGCCUCUCCACCCAAAAAAUCUGAAAACAGCAUGACUCCCUCCUCACUAACAGGCCAACCUAUUACAAUAGGAGAACCAAUACUAGAAUGAGUAACUAGGGGUACCCCUCUCAAGCGCAAACUUACAUCCUCACAUUAUUAACAGCCCCAACUAAUGUACUACACCAACAAGCCAACACAUUAAACCCACUCUGUUAAUCCAACUCAGGAGCGCUCAUUAAGAGGACUAAAACCUGCAAAAGGAACUAGGCAAACCCAAGACCCGACUGUUUACCAAAAACAUAGCCUUCAGCAAACCAAGUAUUGAAGGUGAUGCCUGCCCAGUGACUCUACUUAAAUGGCCGCGGUAUCCUAACCGUGCGAAGGUAGCGCAAUCAAUUGUCCCAUAAAUCGAGACUUGUAUGAAUGGCUAAACGAGGUCUUAACUGUCUCUUGCAGAUGGUCAGUGAAAUUGAUCUUCCUGUGCAAAAGCAGGAAUAGACACACAAGACGAGAAGACCCUGUGGAACUUAAAAAUCAGCGGCCACCACACAAAUAUAUCCCCCUACUUAGGCUCACAAUAAAAAAGCACUGGCCCGCAUUUUUCGGUUGGGGCGACCUUGGAGAAAAACAAACCCUCCAAAACUAAGACCACGCACUCUUAACCAAGAGCAACCCCUCAAUGUACUAACAGUAACCAGACCCAACAACAGUUGAUCAAUGGACCAAGCUACCCCAGGGAUAACAGCGCAAUCUCCCCCAAGAGCCCAUAUCGACAGGGAGGUUUACGACCUCGAUGUUGGAUCAGGACAUCCUAAUGGUGCAGCAGCUAUUAAGGGUUCGUUUGUUCAACGAUUAAUAGUCCUACGUGAUCUGAGUUCAGACCGGAGCAAUCCAGGUCGGUUUCUAUCUGUGCUACACUUUCCCUAGUACGAAAGGACCGGAAAAGUAAGGCCAAUGCCAUAAGCACGCCUUCUCCCCAAGUAAUGACUCCAUCUAAAUUACAAAGAGAACCCACACAACCUUCAAGCCCAGAAAAGGCCGCUAGCGUGGCAGAGCCGGGUAAAUGCAA
This 1182-nucleotide ribosomal RNA is filed under the name Neophron percnopterus (Egyptian vulture). Its description in RNAcentral is "partial 16S ribosomal RNA". The stretch from base 327 to 1182 matches the Rfam family "Archaeal large subunit ribosomal RNA", at positions 1423 to 2938 of the family's 2987-position model. The record is from RNAcentral. Lineage: Eukaryota; Metazoa; Chordata; Aves; Accipitriformes; Accipitridae.